RNAcentral lists this antisense RNA (152 nucleotides) under Brachypodium distachyon (stiff brome). RNAcentral's name for it is "Antisense RNA which regulates isiA expression". It matches the Rfam family "Antisense RNA which regulates isiA expression". The record is from Rfam by way of RNAcentral. Lineage: Eukaryota; Viridiplantae; Streptophyta; Magnoliopsida; Poales; Poaceae.
CAUAACCAAAUAUAACACCGGGGCUAAGGGUCAAGUUGGUUAUCAUAUAUACUGCCAAAAUAAAGAGACUUGAGUACUAGAAGAAAAGCACCUAGACCUAACAAAAUUAAAUGAAUAUACAAAAGUCUAGUUAUUUUAUUUCUAUCAGUGCA